CCUGUCCAGAGAACCAUACACUCUCAGGAAUACCACCCCCACCACCACCGGAGGAGGAGGAGGAGGACUGGGAAAAGGAGAGCCAAGAGGUCACGCUGAUUGACUGGGAAAAUAACUGUUUUGGCAUCAAUCCCUACGUCGACUCAGCGGCCCAAGUGAAAGGUCCCAUCAGUGAUCUCUGCUGAUAUUCUGACCUCCAAUUCCAGAAGAACUAACCUUGUAUUUCUAUUGCGGCGCUCUAAUAAUAGCGUUGCCUGAGCAACA
Long non-coding RNA from Gasterosteus aculeatus aculeatus (three-spined stickleback), 264 nucleotides. The record is from Ensembl. NCBI's taxonomy places the organism in Eukaryota, Metazoa, Chordata, Actinopteri, Perciformes, Gasterosteidae.